AUUGAACGCUGGCGGCAGGCCUAACACAUGCGAGUCGAGCGGAUGAAGGGAGCUUGCUCCUGGAUUCAGCGGCGGACGGGUGAGUAGUGCCCAGGAAUCUGCCUGGUAGUGGGGGAUAACGUCCGGAAACGGGCGCUAAUACCGCAUACGUCCUGAGGGAGAAAGUGGGGGAUCUUCGGACCUCACGCUAUCAGAUGAGCCUAGGUCGGAUUAGCUAGUUGGUGGGGUAAAGGCCUACCAAGGCGACGAUCCGUAACUGGUCUGAGAGGAUGAUCAGUCACACUGGAACUGAGACACGGUCCGGACUCCUACGGGAGGCAGCAGUGGGGAAUAUUGGACAAUGGGCGAAAGCCUGAUCCAGCCAUGCCGCGUGUGUGAAGAAGGUCUUCGGAUUGUAAAGCACUUUAAGUUGGGAGGAAGGGCAGUAAGUUAAUACCUUGCUGUUUUGACGUUACCAACAGAAUAAGCACCGGCUAACUUCGUG
Molecule: ribosomal RNA, 484 nt
Filed under: uncultured bacterium
Lineage: Bacteria
Description: partial 16S ribosomal RNA
Rfam family: Bacterial small subunit ribosomal RNA
Source: RNAcentral